This 517-nucleotide long non-coding RNA is filed under the name Vigna radiata. Its description in RNAcentral is "long non-coding RNA (VRAD_LNC017055)". Lineage: Eukaryota; Viridiplantae; Streptophyta; Magnoliopsida; Fabales; Fabaceae. The record is from RNAcentral.
GAAAUUGUUUGCUCUGCACCAGGUGUAUAAGUGCUGGAUACAUCACCAUGUUGGUUGUUUGAUCCAUAGCCAUGACUAUGCUGUUAAAAUGGAAAAGGCCAACUACAUUCGAUUGGUCUACAAGAGUGCGUCUUGGAGGAGUUCUUUCAGUCAUCUCCUCUGUUCUUAUGUCUGGUGAAGGUGAUAAUAAUAUUUCAGGGGAAGGAAACAAAUCCCUAGAUGGGCGUCUGACUCUCCUCCCUCUUGCUUCACUUCAACCUUCAAGAAGCGGUGUAUUUUUCGUGCUCCUAGUAUGUCUGGGCUCCUGCUGUAUGCACAAGAAACACAAACCCUAGUAGCAUUUUUUAUAAAAAGAUAAAAAGAUAAAAAGAUAAAAAGAAAAAUAGAUAAAAAGAUAAAAAGAUAAAAAGAUAAAAAAAAAUAAGAUAUAUACAAUCAAAUCAAACUCAAUCAGUUUACACUACUAAAUUAGUUAAAACACGAGUCCCCGACAACGGCGCCAAAAACUUGUUAAACC